This 253-nucleotide ribosomal RNA is filed under the name uncultured bacterium. Its description in RNAcentral is "partial 16S ribosomal RNA". It matches the Rfam family "Bacterial small subunit ribosomal RNA", at positions 524 to 776 of the family's 1533-position model. The record is from RNAcentral.
UACGUAGGGUGCGAGCGUUAAUCGGAAUUACUGGGCGUAAAGCGUGCGCAGGCGGUAAGUUAAGUCUGAUGUGAAAGCCCCGGGCUCAACCUGGGAACGGCAUUGGAAACUGGCUUGCUGGAGUGUGGCAGAGGGGGGUGGAAUUCCGCGUGUAGCAGUGAAAUGCGUAGAGAUGUGGAGGAACACCGAUGGCGAAGGCAGCCCCCUGGGCUAACACUGACGCUCAUGCACGAAAGCGUGGGGAGCAAACAGG